Molecule: ribosomal RNA, 253 nt
Filed under: uncultured bacterium
Lineage: Bacteria
Description: partial 16S ribosomal RNA
Rfam family: Bacterial small subunit ribosomal RNA
Source: RNAcentral
UACGUAGGGUGCAAGCGUUGCCCGGAUUUAUUGGGCGUAAAGGGCGCGUAGGCGGCUCGGCACGUCCGUUGUGAAAUCACCCGGCUCAACUGGGCGGGGUCAGCGGAUACGGCAGAGCUUGAGCAAGCUAGGGGGCAAUGGAAUUCCCGGUGUAGUGGUGGAAUGCGUAGAUAUCGGGAGGAACACCAGUGGCGAAGGCGGUUGCCUGGGGCUUUGCUGACGCUGAUGCGCGAAAGCGUGGGGAGCGAUCCGG